GAUGAACGCUGGCGGCGUGCUUAACACAUGCAAGUCGAACGAGAAGUGAAGACGGAAACCUUCGGGCGGAAGGCUUUAUUUCGAGUGGCGGACGGGUGAGUAACGCGUGGGUAACCUGCCUCAUACAGGGGGAUAACAGUUGGAAACGACUGUUAAUACCGCAUAAUACCACCGCACCGCAUGGUGCGGGGGUAAAAACUCCGGUGGUAUGAGAUGGACCCGCGUUCGAUUAGCCAGUUGGCGGGGUAACGGCCCACCAAAGCGACGAUCGAUAGCCGAUCUGAGAGGAUGACCGGCCACAUUGGGACUGAGACACGGCCCAAACUCCGACGGGAGGCAGCAGUGGGGAAUAUUGCACAAUGGGGGAAACCCUGAUGCAGCGACGCCGCGUGAGUGAAGAAGUAUUUCGGUAUGUAAAGCUCUAUCAGCAGGGAAGAAAAUGACGGUACCUGAGUAAGAAGCCCCGGCUAACUACGUG
RNAcentral lists this ribosomal RNA (478 nucleotides) under uncultured bacterium. RNAcentral describes it as "partial 16S ribosomal RNA". It matches the Rfam family "Bacterial small subunit ribosomal RNA", at positions 28 to 507 of the family's 1533-position model. The record is from RNAcentral.